Molecule: ribosomal RNA, 222 nt
Filed under: Serratia plymuthica
Lineage: Bacteria; Pseudomonadati; Pseudomonadota; Gammaproteobacteria; Enterobacterales; Yersiniaceae
Description: partial 16S ribosomal RNA
Rfam family: Bacterial small subunit ribosomal RNA
Source: RNAcentral
GCGGCGGACGGGUGAGUAAUGUCUGGGAAACUGCCUGAUGGAGGGGGAUAACUACUGGAAACGGUAGCUAAUACCGCAUAACGUCGCAAGACCAAAGAGGGGGACCUUCGGGCCUCUUGCCAUCAGAUGUGCCCAGAUGGGAUUAGCUAGUAGGUGGGGUAAUGGCUCACCUAGGCGACGAUCCCUAGCUGGUCUGAGAGGAUGACCAGCCACACUGGAACU